This is a non-coding RNA of Crepidotus variabilis, 88 nucleotides long. The record is from the annotation of a GenBank genome assembly. NCBI's taxonomy places the organism in Eukaryota, Fungi, Basidiomycota, Agaricomycetes, Agaricales, Crepidotaceae.
GGGCUCUUGGCACAGUUGGUAGCGCGCACGCUUCGCAUUACGUAAUGCAAAUUGCGUGAGGUCGUGGGUUCAAUUCCCACAGUGUCCA